UUUUAAAUUGAGAGUUUGAUCCUGGCUCAGGACGAACGCUGGCGGCGUGCCUAACACAUGCAAGUCGAGCGAUGAAGCCCUUCGGGGUGGAUUAGCGGCGGACGGGUGAGUAACACGUGGGUAACCUGCCUUAUAGAGGGGGAUAGCCUUCCGAAAGGAAGAUUAAUACCGCAUGAAAUGUUUUUAUCGCAUGGUAGAAACAUCAAAGGAGUAAUCCGCUAUAAGAUG
This 228-nucleotide ribosomal RNA is filed under the name Clostridium sulfidigenes. RNAcentral describes it as "partial 16S ribosomal RNA". It matches the Rfam family "Bacterial small subunit ribosomal RNA", at positions 1 to 227 of the family's 1533-position model. Lineage: Bacteria; Bacillati; Bacillota; Clostridia; Eubacteriales; Clostridiaceae. The record is from RNAcentral.